UGCCUAGCACCUGUUGAUAAUUUAAUCAGUGCUUAUUGAGAGGAUGAGUGAGUAAACACGUGAGCAGGGGGCUGAAAACUUGGUCUCCGGCAUGAGACAAACUCAUGUCCAAAUCCCAUUGACUAAUUAAACUCAUUCAUUCACACAUGCCACUCAUUCAUUCAUUCAUUCAUUCAUUCGGAUUUGUACCGAGUGCCUGUUAUAUUGCAGGCACCCUGCUCGACAUUGCCAGAGGACAACCGGGAGGGACAGGGUCCCCGCCUCACAAGCUUAUAUCUGCAUGGUAGAGAGUGACAAUAAACAAGCAAAUCAGUAAGUGAACAAGACUCUACGAUGUUCUUAGAAGGAAAUGAGCAAGGGGGAGUGUGACAGAGGACCUGCACGUGGCCGUGGACUACUUCAGGAGACAGUCUCUGGACACCUCGUGUUCUGGCUGCAAGCACACCAUCUGGUUUGCCAAGGACCUUCUUCAAAUGAGGCCCCUGAAACUGAACGUGGAACUUCAAGCAAGCUCUGGCAGAGCUGGGACCAUGCCCGAGACCCGCAGACCCAACACAGCCUUACAACUGGGUCAUAA
RNAcentral lists this long non-coding RNA (577 nucleotides) under Ursus maritimus (polar bear). RNAcentral's name for it is "lncRNA (ENSUMAG00000017575.1)". Lineage: Eukaryota; Metazoa; Chordata; Mammalia; Carnivora; Ursidae. The record is from RNAcentral.